Molecule: unclassified non-coding RNA, 102 nt
Organism: Nomascus leucogenys (northern white-cheeked gibbon)
Lineage: Eukaryota; Metazoa; Chordata; Mammalia; Primates; Hylobatidae
Rfam family: Y RNA
About the family: Y RNAs are components of the Ro ribonucleoprotein particle (Ro RNP), in association with Ro60 and La proteins. The Y RNAs and Ro60 and La proteins are well conserved, but the function of the Ro RNP is not known.
Source: Ensembl
GGCUGUUGGAAGAUAGUUAUCUCAACUGAUUGUUCAUAGUUACAGAUGGAACUCCUUGUUCUACUCUUCCCCCUUCUCACUACUACACUUGACUAGUCUUUA